Molecule: ribosomal RNA, 465 nt
Filed under: Vreelandella stevensii
Lineage: Bacteria; Pseudomonadati; Pseudomonadota; Gammaproteobacteria; Oceanospirillales; Halomonadaceae
Description: partial 16S ribosomal RNA
Rfam family: Bacterial small subunit ribosomal RNA
Source: RNAcentral
CCUACGGGUGGCUGCAGUGGGGAAUAUUGGACAAUGGGCGAAAGCCUGAUCCAGCCAUGCCGCGUGUGUGAAGAAGGCCUUCGGGUUGUAAAGCACUUUCAGUGGGGAAGAAAGCCUUGGGGCUAAUACCCUCGAGGAAGGACAUCACCCACAGAAGAAGCACCGGCUAACUCCGUGCCAGCAGCCGCGGUAAUACGGAGGGUGCGAGCGUUAAUCGGAAUUACUGGGCGUAAAGCGCGCGUAGGCGGUCUGAUAAGCCGGUUGUGAAAGCCCCGGGCUCAACCUGGGAACGGCAUCCGGAACUGUCAGGCUAGAGUGCUGGAGAGGAAGGUAGAAUUCCCGGUGUAGCGGUGAAAUGCGUAGAGAUCGGGAGGAAUACCAGUGGCGAAGGCGGCCUUCUGGACUGACACUGACGCUGAGGUGCGAAAGCGUGGGUAGCAAACAGGAUUAGAUACCCGAGUAGUC